Molecule: ribosomal RNA, 428 nt
Filed under: uncultured bacterium
Lineage: Bacteria
Description: partial 16S ribosomal RNA
Rfam family: Bacterial small subunit ribosomal RNA
Source: RNAcentral
UGGGGAAUAUUGCACAAUGGGCGCAAGCCUGAUGCAGCCAUGCCGCGUGUGUGAAGAAGGCCUUCGGGUUGUAAAGCACUUUCAGCGAGGAGGAAGGUGGUGAACUUAAUACGUUCAUCAAUUGACGUUACUCGCAGAAGAAGCACCGGCUAACUCCGUGCCAGCAGCCGCGGUAAUACGGAGGGUGCAAGCGUUAAUCGGAAUUACUGGGCGUAAAGCGCACGCAGGCGGUUUGUUAAGUCAGAUGUGAAAUCCCCGGGCUCAACCUGGGAACUGCAUUUGAAACUGGCAAGCUAGAGUCUCGUAGAGGGGGGUAGAAUUCCAGGUGUAGCGGUGAAAUGCGUAGAGAUCUGGAGGAAUACCGGUGGCGAAGGCGGCCCCCCUGGACGAAGACUGACGCUCAGGUGCGAAAGCGUGGGGAGCAAACA